AGCGAACGCUGGCGGCAGGCCUAACACAUGCAAGUCGAACGAACUCUUCGGAGUUAGUGGCGGACGGGUGAGUAACACGUGGGAACGUGCCUUUUGGUUCGGAAUAACUCAGGGAAACUUGUGCUAAUACCGAAUGUGCCCUUCGGGGGAAAGAUUUAUCGCCAUUAGAGCGGCCCGCGUCUGAUUAGCUAGUUGGUGAGGUAACGGCUCACCAAGCCGACGAUCAGUAGCUGGUCUGAGAGGAUGACCAGCCACACUGGGACUGAGACACGGCCCAGACUCCUACGGGAGGCAGCAGUGGGGAAUCUUGCGCAAUGGGCGAAAGCCUGACGCAGCCAUGCCGCGUGAAUGAUGAAGGUCUUAGGAUUGUAAAAUUCUUUCACCGGGGACGAUAAUGACGGUACCCGGAGAAGAAGCCCCGGCUAACUUCGUG
RNAcentral lists this ribosomal RNA (433 nucleotides) under uncultured bacterium. RNAcentral's name for it is "partial 16S ribosomal RNA". It matches the Rfam family "Bacterial small subunit ribosomal RNA", at positions 29 to 507 of the family's 1533-position model. The record is from RNAcentral.